RNAcentral lists this ribosomal RNA (243 nucleotides) under uncultured Actinomycetales bacterium. RNAcentral describes it as "partial 16S ribosomal RNA". It matches the Rfam family "Bacterial small subunit ribosomal RNA", at positions 88 to 334 of the family's 1533-position model. Lineage: Bacteria; Bacillati; Actinomycetota; Actinomycetes; Actinomycetales. The record is from RNAcentral.
UGCUCGAGUGGCGAACGGGUGAGUAACACGUGGGUGACCUGCACUGCACUUCGGGAUAAGCCUGGGAAACUGGGUCUAAUACCGGAUAGGACCAUGGUGUGGAUACUGUGGUGGAAAGUUUUUUCGGUGUGGGAUGGGCCCGCGGCCUAUCAGCUUGUUGGUGGGGUAAUGGCCUACCAAGGCGGCGACGGGUAGCCGGCCUGAGAGGGUGUACGGCCACAUUGGGACUGAGAUACGGCCCAG